GGAGUACGUUCGCAGAAUGAACUCAAGGAAUUGACGGGACCCGCACAAGCGUUGGAGCAUGUGUUAUUCGAAGCACGCGAAGAACCUACCAGUCUGACAUCCAACUGACAGAGGAAGUAUGUUCCUUUCCUUCGGGACAGUUGAGACAGUGUGCAUGUUGUCGUCAGCUCGUGUCGUGAGAUGUUGGGUUAAGUCCCGCAACGAGCGCAACCCCUAUCUUUAGUAGCCAGCGGUUCGGCCGGGCACUCUAGAGAGACUGCCGGGGAUAACCCGGAGGAAGGUGGGGAUGACGUCAAAUCAUCAUGCCCCUUAUGAUUUGGGCUACACACGUGCUACAAUGGCGUAAACAAAGGGAAGCGACGCUGUGAAGCUGAGCAAAUCCCAAAAAUAACGUCUCAGUUCGGAUUGUAGUCUGCAACUCGACUACAUGAAGCUGGAAUCGCUAGUAAUCGCGAAUCAGAAUGUCGCGGUGAAUACGUUCCCGGGUCUUGUACACACCGCCCGUCACACCAUGGGAGUCGGAAAUGCCCGAAGUACGUGACUUAACCGUAAGGAGAGAGCGUCCGAAGGCAGGUCGGAUAACUGGGGUG
RNAcentral lists this ribosomal RNA (590 nucleotides) under uncultured rumen bacterium. RNAcentral describes it as "bacterial SSU rRNA". It matches the Rfam family "Bacterial small subunit ribosomal RNA", at positions 877 to 1482 of the family's 1533-position model. The record is from RNAcentral.